This 75-nucleotide transfer RNA is filed under the name candidate division WOR-1 bacterium RIFOXYA2_FULL_41_14. RNAcentral describes it as "tRNA-Glu". It matches the Rfam family "tRNA". From Rfam's summary of the family: Transfer RNA (tRNA) molecules are approximately 80 nucleotides in length. Their secondary structure includes four short double-helical elements and three loops (D, anti-codon, and T loops). RNAcentral also lists the same sequence under 3 other names. The record is from RNAcentral. Lineage: Bacteria; Bacillati.
GGCCCCAUCGUCUAGGGGUUAGGACACAAGCUUUUCAAGCUUGCGACCGGGGUUCAAUUCCCCGUGGGGCUACCA